Molecule: ribosomal RNA, 498 nt
Filed under: uncultured bacterium
Lineage: Bacteria
Description: partial 16S ribosomal RNA
Rfam family: Bacterial small subunit ribosomal RNA
Source: RNAcentral
GACGAACGCUGGCGGCGUGCCUAAUACAUGCAAGUCGAACGAGAGCGACCGGUGCUUGCACUGGUCAAUCUAGUGGCGCACGGGUGAGUAACACGUGGGUAACCUGCCCAUCAGAGGGGGAUAACAUCCGGAAACGGAUGCUAAAACCGCAUAGGUCUUCGAGCCGCAUGGCUUGAAGAGGAAAAGAGGCGCACGCUUCUGCUGAUGGAUGGACCCGCGGUGCAUUAGCUAGUUGGUGAGGUAACGGCUCACCAAGGCCGUGAUGCAUAGCCGACCUGAGAGGGUGAUCGGCCACAUUGGGACUGGGACACGGCCCAAACUCCUACGGGAGGCAGCAGUAGGGAAUCUUCCGCAAUGGACGCAAGUCUGACGGAGCAACGCCGCGUGAGUGAAGAAGGUUUUCGGAUCGUAAAACUCUGUUGUUAGAGAAGAACAAGUGCUAGAGUAACUGUUAGCGCCUUGACGGUAUCUAACCAGAAAGCCACGGCUAACUACGUG